Molecule: ribosomal RNA, 498 nt
Filed under: uncultured bacterium
Lineage: Bacteria
Description: partial 16S ribosomal RNA
Rfam family: Bacterial small subunit ribosomal RNA
Source: RNAcentral
GACGAACGCUGGCGGCGUGCCUAAUACAUGCAAGUCGAGCGGACGAAUCGAAAGCUUGCUUUUGAUUCGUUAGCGGCGGACGGGUGAGUAACACGUGGGCAACCUGCCCUGUAGACGGGGAUAACACCGAGAAAUCGGUGCUAAUACCGGAUAACACGAAAUGUCGCAUGACGUUUCGUUGAAAGACGGCGCAAGCUGCCGCUACAGGAUGGGCCCGCGGCGCAUUAGCUAGUUGGUGAGGUAACGGCUCACCAAGGCGACGAUACGUAGCCGACCUGAGAGGGCGAUCGGCCACACUGGGACUGAGACACGGCCCAGACUCCUACGGGAGGCAGCAGUAGGGAAUCUUCCGCAAUGGACGAAAGUCUGACGGAGCAACGCCGCGUGAGCGAAGAAGGCCUUCGGGUCGUAAAGCUCUGUUGUUAGGGAAGAACAAGUAACGCAGUAACUGGCGUUACCGUGACGGUACCUAACGAGAAAGCCACGGCUAACUACGUG